This 322-nucleotide ribosomal RNA is filed under the name uncultured bacterium. RNAcentral describes it as "bacterial SSU rRNA". It matches the Rfam family "Bacterial small subunit ribosomal RNA", at positions 324 to 638 of the family's 1533-position model. The record is from RNAcentral.
ACACGGUCCAGACUCCUACGGGAGGCAGCAGUGGGGAAUAUUGGACAAUGGGCGCAAGCCUGAUCCAGCCAUGCCGCGUGUGUGAAGAAGGCCUUCGGGUUGUAAAGCACUUUUGUACGGGAAGAAAAGCACCUGGUUAAUACCCGGGUGUCAUGACGGUACCGUAAGAAUAAGCACCGGCUAACUUCGUGCCAGCAGCCGCGGUAAUACGAAGGGUGCAAGCGUUACUCGGAAUUACUGGGCGUAAAGCGUGCGUAGGUGGUUUGUUAAGUCUGAUGUGAAAGCCCUGGGCUCAACCUGGGAAUUGCAUUGGAUACUGGCA